CAUUUUCGUUUUUUUUUCCCCGUUGGGUCAAUUGGCAGAUCCCCGCGGUGUCGGGCUCGGAACGAGCUUUUCGAAACGUACUCACGGGCCACGUGAGUCCAUCGGGAUCGAAAGUUAGGCACGUAAACGCGGAGACGCGCGGAUUACGUUUACAGAGAAAUUCUCCAUUUCGUAUUUCGUCGCACGUAAGUAGCGUUACGAUAACCGCGCGACGGGUCCUUGAGAGCAGGAAGUUGAACACUCCGGACGUUUCUCGAGAGGAGAAAGCGAUUCGCAUCAAGUAAAUAUGCUAUGCGUAACAUGAC
This 305-nucleotide unclassified non-coding RNA is filed under the name Melaleuca lasiandra. The record is from RNAcentral. Lineage: Eukaryota; Viridiplantae; Streptophyta; Magnoliopsida; Myrtales; Myrtaceae.